GGGCUGGUUGUAAUGCCACAAGGAGAUCAACUGGAGGUUUCUGCACAUUUAUGGGAUCAAAUUUGAUUUCAUGGUCAGCAAAAAGGCAAGAUUCGGUUUCAAGAUCAUCAACUGAGGCAGAGUACAGAACACUAUCUGAUACUGCAGCUGAGCUUGAAUGGAUAAGUCUGAUGAUGAAGAGUAUCAAUCUACCUCAUCCAGAGCCAGCUGAAGUUUAUUGUGAUAAUCUCUCUGCAGUGCACUUAACAGCAAAUCCGGUUCUGCAUAGAAAAUCGAAACAUUUCGCCACACACUAUCACUUUGCGCGCGAGAAAGUAGCAAAUGGAACUCUGCUUGUCAAACACAUACCGGCAGCUCAGCAAAUUGCAGAUAUCUUCACCAAAUCAUUGUCACAACACAGCUUCUUCUCUUUGCGUUUCAAACUCGGAGUUGACUUUCCACCCACCUCGAGUUUGCGCGGGGAUAUUAAGCCCAGAGAUGAAAUUCAAACGCAGGCCCACUUCAAUGGUUCAAGUCAGCAAAAGCCCAAGACAAGGCAAACAGAAGCAACGGUCAAGAAUAAAGGAAGAGGAGACAAGAGUACGGUUUCACCAGCUCAGCUGCAGCUAAGCAACAGGUUUGGAGUGCUAG
This 630-nucleotide long non-coding RNA is filed under the name Brassica rapa (field mustard). Its description in RNAcentral is "long non-coding RNA (BRAP_LNC002985)". Lineage: Eukaryota; Viridiplantae; Streptophyta; Magnoliopsida; Brassicales; Brassicaceae. The record is from RNAcentral.